Molecule: ribosomal RNA, 460 nt
Filed under: uncultured bacterium
Lineage: Bacteria
Description: partial 16S ribosomal RNA
Rfam family: Bacterial small subunit ribosomal RNA
Source: RNAcentral
CCUACGUGAUGCAGCAGUGAGGAAUAUUGGUCAAUGGGCUUACGCCUGAACCAGCCAAGUCGCGUGAGGGAAGACUGCCCUAUGGGUUGUAAAACUCUUUUGUCAGGGAGCAACGCCGGCUACGUGUAGCCGGACUGAGAGUACCUGAAGAAAAAGCAUCGGCUAACUCCGUGCCAGCAGCCGCGGUAAUACGGAGGAUGCGAGUGUAAUCCGGAAUUAGUGGGUUCAAAUGGUGCGUAGGCGGAAUGCCAAGUCAGCGGUAAAAUCGCGGGGCUCAACCUCGCUCCGCCGUUGAAACUGGCGUUCUUGAGUGGGCGAGAAGUAUGCGGAAUGCGUGGUGUAGCGGUGAAAUGCAGAGAUAGCACGCAGAACUCCGAUUGCGAAGGCAGCAUACCGGCGCCCAACUGACGCUGAAGCACGAAAGCGUGGGUAUCGAACAGGAUUAGAUACCCGUGUAGUC